AACGCUGGCGGCAUGCCUUACACAUGCAAGUCGAACGGCAGCACGGGAGCAAUCCUGGUGGCGAGUGGCGAACGGGUGAGUAAUGUAUCGGAACGUACCUUUCAGUGGGGGAUAACGUAGCGAAAGUUACGCUAAUACCGCAUAUUCUGUGAGCAGGAAAGCAGGGGAUCGCAAGACCUUGCGCUGAUUGAGCGGCCGAUAUCAGAUUAGCUAGUUGGUGAGGUAAAGGCUCACCAAGGCGACGAUCUGUAGCGGGUCUGAGAGGAUGAUCCGCCACACUGGAACUGAGACACGGUCCAGACUCCUACGGGAGGCAGCAGUGGGGAAUUUUGGACAAUGGGCGCAAGCCUGAUCCAGCCAUGCCGCGUGAGUGAAGAAGGCCUUCGGGUUGUAAAGCUCUUUCAGCCGGGAAGAAAACGCAUGGGUUAAUACCCUGUGUGGAUGACGGUACCGGAAUAAGAAGCACCGGCUAACUACGUG
This 480-nucleotide ribosomal RNA is filed under the name uncultured bacterium. Its description in RNAcentral is "bacterial SSU rRNA". It matches the Rfam family "Bacterial small subunit ribosomal RNA", at positions 32 to 507 of the family's 1533-position model. The record is from RNAcentral.